Molecule: long non-coding RNA, 3256 nt
Filed under: Sus scrofa (pig)
Lineage: Eukaryota; Metazoa; Chordata; Mammalia; Artiodactyla; Suidae
Description: lncRNA (ENSSSCG00040016145.1)
Source: RNAcentral
CCGUGGUCCAAAGGGUAGACAUGAGUAGAUCAGCCCAUGAAUAUAGAGAGAUAAAUGGUGACUGAACACUGCAAUGAAUGUUUUCCUCCAGGGAGACAGAGAACCAUGGCUCAUACACACUCUUGCCUGAGGCUAUACCUGGACACAAUGACGCUAUGAGAUCUAAAGAUGAUGUUUCUCAACAUGUGGAUCUUGGCUACUCGUAUCCAGAUUAUCUUUGGUGAUUGUUAGAAAUGCAGGUUCCUGGGCUGCAACUCCACCCCCUGAAUCCUAGUCUCUGCUGUUGACCUGAGCAUCUGCACUUUUUAAUUGAGACUGCUCAAGCACAUUAAAAUUUAAGCGCUACUUCCUCAAGGCCUAAAAAGAGGCAUAAUAGUCUCUCUUGGUAAAACUGGACUGGGAAACAGGGAUGACCAGAUCCCAAACAGGUCCUUUAGGAGUUAAAGUUGUGCACAUUUAAGCCCCAAAUUCUACUUGAUGGCAAAGAUUUCAAACCAUGAACACAGAAAGCAAUUCUGAACUGGUAGUCUUAGGCACCUCACAGAAUUAAAUGCAAAACCUCUCUGAAGGAAUACACCUUCAUCCUAGGCUUCAAAGUAAUUCUCUGAGGAACUCACAGUUGAAGUGAACAAACCACACAAAGAAACAAGCCAUCAGGAAUGAAUGCCAGCAGAAACAACAGACUGUCCAGAUACCUGAAAUAUCAGGCAUAGACUUAAAAAUAACUCUGUAUAUUGUGUUUAAAGAAAUAAAAGACAAAGACGAAAAAAGCUUCAAGAAGAGAAAAUGGUGACCAAGGUUGAAAAAUAACCAAAAAGAACUUCUAAGGCAACACAAAAUGUGUGUGUGUACAAAAUCACUGAAAUUUAAAAGUCAGUGGAUUGACUGUCAUCAGGCACAAAAAGAAAUUUCUAGGGAAAUAAAAACAUUCUACAACUGGAAUGAGGUGACUGUUGCACAACACUAUAAAUUCACAAAAACAUAUGGAAUUCCACACUGAAAAUGGAUAAAAUUUACGGUUUAUAAAGUAUUCCUUAAUAGAGCUGGUUUUUUAAAAAAUCCUCAAAGAAUUACUUUCAAAACAAACUAGAGACAGCUAAGAGUAAACUAGACCAGAAGACAGAUGAGAAGAAAUUAUUUGGAAUGAUUCACAGAGAGACAAAAGAUGAAAAACAUGCCUGGCAGGUUAAAAGGCAUGGAGGAUAGGGUGAGAUGGUCUAACUUAUGUCCAGUCAAGGUACCAGAAGGAAACGAGAGGCUAAAUGGAGAAGGAACAACAUUCAAAGAGUUACUAGAUGAAAUUUUUCCAAUUCAAAAUCCAUGAAGUCAAGCUCAGUGAAUCUCAACCAGGAUAAGCAAAAAGAAAUCCACACUUAGAAACAACAGAACAAAGCUGCAGACCACCGAAACUGAGGAGGGGAUCCUAAAAAGCACCUUAGAGAAACAGUAGAUUCUUUUUAAGAACAAUAGCUGAUCUCCUCAGCCAUGAUGGAAGCAAGGAGAUUAUGUGUUAAAAGAAAAUAACUGCCAACCUAGAAUUCUAUGCCCAGCAAAAUAAAGAUGUAUUCACACAAGCAAAAUCAGAAAGCAUCCACCUCCAGCAGUGCAUCACCAAAGGAAAUCCAAAGGAAGCAAUCCCAGACACAGCCAUGAUAAGCAAGAACGAAUAAAGAACAUAGAUAAAUCUAAAGGAACAAUGACAUGACAAUAUAAAAGAAUAAUAAUUUUUGUCAUUAAAUAACAUAAUUGAAAUAUAUGUAAUAAUAACAUUAGUAAGGAAUGGAGAAACAAAAUUAAAAUUUCCAAAGAUCCUUCCAUAGUCUGGGAGAAUAAAGUAGAUUAAUUUCAGACUUUGAUAUGCUAUAGAUGAACACUGUGACUUCUACAGUAACCCCUAAAAGAACAGAAACAGAGUAUAACAUCCAAACAGAAGUGAAAAAAAUAAGAUGGAUGAAAAAAGAAUUUAACCCAGAGAAGGGUCAAAAAAAGGAGAGAAAAAGAAACACAGGACUAGGAGGUGAAAGAGAAGGUACAAAACAAUGCUAGGUAUUAACCUAUAUGAAAGUAAAUUCAUUUUUAAAUGUAAAUUGCUCAACUUAAAAGUCAAACGGAGUUCCCUUAUGGUGCAGCAGGUUAAGGAACUAGGGUUGUUACUAUAGCAGCUCAGGCCAUUGCUGUGAUGCAGGUCUGACCACUGCCCCAGGAGCUUCCACAUGCUCCAGACAAGGCCAAAAAAUAAAAAUAAAAAUAAAGACAAAUAUUUUCAAAUUGGAUUUUUUUAAGUCUAAUUUUUUGCUGUUUACAAUAGUUUAUAUCUAAAACAUAAGGAUCAGGAGUUCCCAUUGUGGCACAGUGGGUUAAGAAACUGACAAGUAUCCAUGACGAUGUGGGUUCAAUGCCUGGCCUUGCUCAGUAGGUUAAAGAUCUGGCACUACUGUGAGCUGUGGUGUAGGUCAUGGAGGUGGCUUGGUCUGGCAUUGCUGUGGCUGUGGUAUAGGCUGGCAGCUGCAGCACCAAUUGGACCCCUAGCCUGGGAACUUCUAUAUGGCACCAGUGUGACUCUAAAAAACAAACAAAACCUAAGUAUCAAAAAAGUUUUAGGGAGUUCCCGUCGUGGCGCAGUGGUUAAUGAAUCUGACUAGGAACCAUAAAGCUGCGGGUUCGAACCCUGGCCUCGCUUAGCAGGUUAAGGAUCCAGCGUUGCCAUGAGCUGUGGUGUAGGCCACAGACAUGGCUUGGAUCCCAUGUGGCUGUGGCGUAGGCCAGUGGCUACAGCUUCGAUUAGACCCCUAACCUAGGAACCUCCAUAUGCCAUGGGUGUGACCCUAGAAAAGGCCAAAAAAAAAAAAAAAAAAGACUAUCUAUCUACCUACCUACCUACUGACCUAUCUGUCUGUCUAUAUUCUCCAGUGGCAACUGCAAAUUCAUUAAUGGACACUAGUCAGCAAAUGCAGGAUUUGCCAAUAUCUUCCAAGCAUCUUUCUGACAACUGCCCCAGUGCUCCGGACUGCUGAGAUCACCAACAGUAGCUCCCUGCAAUUCCUACACUGGCAGAUUUCACAGCGGCCUCCCUUAUCUGCAUGUUCCAGACCUGAUGGCUGUGUAAACCCAGUCCUCCAUAGCAAAUCCUUUCCUACUGGAAAUGCCAGUAGCGAUUUAUGACUUCUUGACUAAACUCUAACUCUGCAAAUUUAAGGCACUGAAAGAAAAAAAUAAGGGAAAAUGCUAUUUAGAGUAUAACCUAGGUCAGAUUAAG